This 418-nucleotide ribosomal RNA is filed under the name uncultured bacterium. RNAcentral's name for it is "bacterial SSU rRNA". It matches the Rfam family "Bacterial small subunit ribosomal RNA", at positions 76 to 507 of the family's 1533-position model. The record is from RNAcentral.
AAUUUCGGUUGACGUCUUAGUGGCGAACGGGUGAGUAACGCGUGAACAAUCUGACCUUAGGAGGGGGAUAACAACGAGAAAUCGUUGCUAAUACCGCAUAAGACCACAAUGCCGCAUGGCGAAGGGGUCAAAGGAGCAAUCCGCUUAAGGAGGGGUUCGCGUCCCAUUAGGUAGUAGGUGAGGUAACGGCCCACCUAGCCGACGAUGGGUAGCCGAGCUGAGAGGCUGAUCGGCCACACUGGAACUGAGACACGGUCCAGACUCCUACGGGAGGCGGCAGUGGGGAAUAUUGGGCAAUGGGCGCAAGCCUGACCCAGCAACGCCACGUGAGGGAAGAAGGUUUUCGGAUUGUAAACCUCUGUCGCAGAUGACGAAACAAAUGACGGUAAUCUGUGAGGAAGCCCCGGCUAACUACGUG